GAUGAACGCUGGCGGCGUGCCUAAUACAUGCAAGUCGAGCGAACGGACGAGAAGCUUGCUUCUCUGAUGUUAGCGGCGGACGGGUGAGUAACACGUGGAUAACCUACCUAUAAGACUGGGAUAACUUCGGGAAACCGGAGCUAAUACCGGAUAAUAUUUUGAACCGCAUGGUUCAAAAGUGAAAGACGGUCUUGCUGUCACUUAUAGAUGGAUCCGCGCUGCAUUAGCUAGUUGGUAAGGUAACGGCUUACCAAGGCAACGAUGCAUAGCCGACCUGAGAGGGUGAUCGGCCACACUGGAACUGAGACACGGUCCAGACUCCUACGGGAGGCAGCAGUAGGGAAUCUUCCGCAAUGGGCGAAAGCCUGACGGAGCAACGCCGCGUGAGUGAUGAAGGUCUUCGGAUCGUAAAACUCUGUUAUUAGGGAAGAACAUAUGUGUAAGUAACUGUGCACAUCUUGACGGUACCUAAUCAGAAAGCCACGGCUAACUACGUGCCAGCAGCCGCGGUAAUACGUAGGUGGCAAGCGUUAUCCGGAAUUAUUGGGCGUAAAGCGCGCGUAGGCGGUUUUUUAAGUCUGAUGUGAAAGCCCACGGCUCAACCGUGGAGGGUCAUUGGAAACUGGAAAACUUGAGUGCAGAAGGGGAAAGUGGAAUUCCAUGUGUAGCGGUGAAAUGCGCAGAGAUAUGGAGGAACACCAGUGGCGAAGGCGACUUUCUGGUCUGUAACUGACGCUGAUGUGCGAAAGCGUGGGGAUCAAACAGGAUUAGAUACCCUGGUAGUCCACGCCGUAAACGAUGAGUGCUAAGUGUUAGGGGGUUUCCGCCCCUUAGUGCUGCAGCUAACGCAUUAAGCACUCCGCCUGGGGAGUACGACCGCAAGGUUGAAACUCAAAGGAAUUGACGGGGACCCGCACAAGCGGUGGAGCAUGUGGUUUAAUUCGAAGCAACGCGAAGAACCUUACCAAAUCUUGACAUCCUUUGACAACUCUAGAGAUAGAGCCUUCCCCUUCGGGGGACAAAGUGACAGGUGGUGCAUGGUUGUCGUCAGCUCGUGUCGUGAGAUGUUGGGUUAAGUCCCGCAACGAGCGCAACCCUUAAGCUUAGUUGCCAUCAUUAAGUUGGGCACUCUAAGUUGACUGCCGGUGACAAACCGGAGGAAGGUGGGGAUGACGUCAAAUCAUCAUGCCCCUUAUGAUUUGGGCUACACACGUGCUACAAUGGACAAUACAAAGGGCAGCGAAACCGCGAGGUCAAGCAAAUCCCAUAAAGUUGUUCUCAGUUCGGAUUGUAGUCUGCAACUCGACUACAUGAAGCUGGAAUCGCUAGUAAUCGUAGAUCAGCAUGCUACGGUGAAUACGUUCCCGGGUCU
RNAcentral lists this ribosomal RNA (1372 nucleotides) under uncultured bacterium. RNAcentral's name for it is "bacterial SSU rRNA". It matches the Rfam family "Bacterial small subunit ribosomal RNA", at positions 28 to 1381 of the family's 1533-position model. The record is from RNAcentral.